This 253-nucleotide ribosomal RNA is filed under the name uncultured bacterium. RNAcentral's name for it is "partial 16S ribosomal RNA". It matches the Rfam family "Bacterial small subunit ribosomal RNA", at positions 524 to 776 of the family's 1533-position model. The record is from RNAcentral.
UACGGAGGGUGCAAGCGUUAAUCGGAAUUACUGGGCGUAAAGCGUGCGCAGGCGGUUUGUUAAGUCUGCUGUGAAAUCCCCGAGCUCAACUUGGGAAUUGCAGUGGAUACUGGCAAGCUGGAGUACGGUAGAGGAAGGUGGAAUUCCCGGUGUAGCAGUGAAAUGCGUAGAGAUCGGGAGGAACACCAGUGGCGAAGGCGGCCGGCUGGGGGCGCCCUGACGCUGAGGCGCGAGAGCGUGGGGAGCAAACCGG